Molecule: ribosomal RNA, 558 nt
Filed under: Cylindrochalara hyalocuspica
Lineage: Eukaryota; Fungi; Ascomycota; Leotiomycetes; Helotiales; Hamatocanthoscyphaceae
Description: eukaryotic LSU rRNA
Rfam family: Eukaryotic large subunit ribosomal RNA
Source: RNAcentral
AACGGCGAGUGAAGCGGCAACAGCUCAAAUUUGAAAUCUGGCUCUUUCAGGGUCCGAGUUGUAAUUUGUAGAAGAUGCUUCGGGUGUGGCUCCGGUCUAAGUUCCUUGGAACAGGACGUCAUAGAGGGUGAGAAUCCCGUAUGUGACCGGUUGCUUUCGCCCAUGUGAAGCUCUUUCGACGAGUCGAGUUGUUUGGGAAUGCAGCUCAAAAUGGGUGGUAAAUUUCAUCUAAAGCUAAAUAUUGGCCAGAGACCGAUAGCGCACAAGUAGAGUGAUCGAAAGAUGAAAAGCACUUUGGAAAGAGAGUUAAACAGUACGUGAAAUUGUUGAAAGGGAAGCGCUUGCAACCAGACUUGCACGCUGCCGAUCAUCUGGGGUUCUCUCCAGUGCACUCGGUUGCGUUCAGGCCAGCAUCGGUUUGGGUGGUUGGAUAAAGGCUUAGGGAAUGUAGCUUCUUUCGGGGAGUGUUAUAGCCCUAGGUGCAAUGCAGCCUACCCGGACCGAGGACCGCGCUUCGGCUAGGAUGCUGGCGUAAUGGUUGUAAGCGACCCGUCUUGA